GCUUCUAAUGUGAGGAAAAACACGGAAUGACAAGUGUGGGAAAGAGCAAGCACUAAAUUACUGUCAGAAAAAUAAACGGAGUAGCACAGUGGUGCUCGGUGAUUUACGGGGGCAAUUAGUCACCACCCCACGGCGCUGCUGAGGACAGCACGGCAGCAGACGCGCGUCAAGCCUGAGAGGAAGAAGCGGCUUUGCACUGCUCUUCAGACAACUUUUCAAACAAGGAGAGAGGAUAUUUGAGCGCAUUAGGUUCCAUGUCUGCAUUCUGGGUGCCCAUCCUUCAAAUUAUUCAACCAACCUAAUACAUAAAGAUGGGAAAUGCUGGAAGACACCUCUCUGCUGGUCCAUAGAUCAGCCAGUGUUGCUGCUGGAGUAGAAGCUUCUGACCACGACCUUGGCUGUAAGGCUGACGUUUUACAUCACAGGGAUUUUUACUCACUGGAACUAGCGCCUGUUGUGGAGGUUAAGAAUGGCUGCAUCUGAUUCCGCUCUGCUCCUUUUUCAUUGUUUUGGAAGAAUAAGAAUAGCUUUACAUUCAGAUGUUCAUUGAAGAUUUGGUAAGAGAAGAGAAAGGAGAGUAUUAUCUAAUGUUGAGUAUUUUUAAAGAGACUGCUAAGAAGAGGUUAAGAGCGGUCGCUGCCUGGAGGGAAGUGGGUGCUGACCUUGGACCCACCUCCCCUGCCACUGACUUCUGUCACCGGGUGACUGAGGUCACAUAACAAAUCCAGACGCCAGAGCCUGAGCUGUUACCCACUCCCUGUGCAGUGAGGACCCUGGAAGCCACGUCACGUGAGGAACUGUAGUGUCUGUGCCGCCACUGGGAAGAACUGGCACCGCUGGAGACAGCAGAUAAGGUGCUCCCACCCUUAGAACUGAGCACUCAAACAGCAGCGGAAGGACCAUUGUUUGUACGAGUGGAGGAAAGAUUUCAACUCUAAUCUAUGACAUUAGCGACACAGAACAAAUAACCAAAGUGUUGUUUUCAUUUCUACUUACUAUUAGAAAAAAGCCUCUUAAAAUUUUAAAAAUAAUAAUUAAAGUCUCUAAAUUUCUAUGCUUUUUCUUAAAAAGUUGACUCCUGAAUGAAUGCCGGAUGUAGGCCCAUUUUCUCAAACUGCAUCCACUGUCUUCUCAAAUGGUACUUGGUCUUUGGAACUAUGUGACCCUUCGGUCUGGGAACUAAGUCCUACCUCACAAUGUUGUUCCAAGGAUGGACUAUGUUAAUGCUUGUGGAAAAGCUUUGCAGUGGCUGCAUACCACACAAAUACGAGGGGUUGGUGAACAGAAAGAAAAUGUAUUUUAAGUCCUCUUGAUACUUUCGUCUGUAUAAUGAUACAGAUCAGCCCUGAAAGCUCUUGAAUCAGUCAGUCGUCUGUCUGGUAAAUAUAGUUGUAUAAAUGUAACCAAAGCAUAUGUAUUUUCAUUGGCUCAACCAGUGUUACCUAGUAGUGACUGGCACUUGUGUGUCAGUUACACAUGAGAUCUACAGAAAUGAUUAAUAUAUGGCUCUACCCUCUAGAAGUGGCAUAAAAAUGAAGAAGUUAGAAUUUAGGGAGGAGGGCACAGCUCAGUGGUAGAGUGUGUGCUUAGCAAGCACGAGGUCGUGGGUGGGUUCAAUCCCCAGUGCCUACAUGAAAUAAAUCAAUAA
Vicugna pacos (alpaca) is the source of this 1648-nucleotide non-coding RNA. The record is from RefSeq and is a predicted model, not a curated record. NCBI's taxonomy places the organism in Eukaryota, Metazoa, Chordata, Mammalia, Artiodactyla, Camelidae.